This 218-nucleotide ribosomal RNA is filed under the name Escherichia coli. RNAcentral describes it as "partial 16S ribosomal RNA". It matches the Rfam family "Bacterial small subunit ribosomal RNA", at positions 232 to 449 of the family's 1533-position model. The record is from RNAcentral. Lineage: Bacteria; Pseudomonadati; Pseudomonadota; Gammaproteobacteria; Enterobacterales; Enterobacteriaceae.
CAGAUGGGAUUAGCUAGUAGGUGGGGUAACGGCUCACCUAGGCGACGAUCCCUAGCUGGUCUGAGAGGAUGACCAGCCACACUGGAACUGAGACACGGUCCAGACUCCUACGGGAGGCAGCAGUGGGGAAUAUUGCACAAUGGGCGCAAGCCUGAUGCAGCCAUGCCGCGUGUAUGAAGAAGGCCUUCGGGUUGUAAAGUACUUUCAGCGGGGAGGAA